RNAcentral lists this ribosomal RNA (464 nucleotides) under uncultured bacterium. RNAcentral's name for it is "partial 16S ribosomal RNA". It matches the Rfam family "Bacterial small subunit ribosomal RNA", at positions 28 to 507 of the family's 1533-position model. The record is from RNAcentral.
GACGAACGCUGGCGGCGUGCUUAACACAUGCAAGUCGAACGAUGAACCGGUUUCGGCCGGGGAUUAGUGGCGAACGGGUGAGUAACACGUGGGCAAUCUGCCCUGCACUCUGGGAUAAGCCCGGGAAACUGGGUCUAAUACCGGAUACGACACUCCGAGGCAUCUUGGGGUGUGGAAAGUUCCGGCGGUGCAGGAUGAGCCCGCGGCCUAUCAGCUUGUUGGUGGGGUAAUGGCCUACCAAGGCGACGACGGGUAGCCGGCCUGAGAGGGUGACCGGCCACACUGGGAUUGAGACACGGCCCAGACUCCUACGGGAGGCAGCAGUGGGGAAUAUUGCACAAUGGGCGAAAGCCUGAUGCAGCGACGCCGCGUGAGGGAUGACGGCCUUCGGGUUGUAAACCUCUUUCAGCAGGGAAGAAGCGAAAGUGACGGUACCUGCAGAAGAAGCACCGGCUAACUACGUG